AUUGAACGCUGGCGGCAUGCCUUACACAUGCAAGUCGAACGGCAGCACGGGGCAACCUGGUGGCGAGUGGCGAACGGGUGAGUAAUGCAUCGGAACGUGCCAUUGAGUGGGGGAUAACGUAGCGAAAGUUGCGCUAAUACCGCAUAUUCUGUGAGCAGGAAAGCAGGGGACCGCAAGGCCUUGCGCUCUUUGAGCGGCCGAUGUCAGAUUAGCUAGUUGGUGAGGUAACGGCUUACCAAGGCGACGAUCUGUAGCGGGUCUGAGAGGAUGAUCCGCCACACUGGAACUGAGACACGGUCCAGACUCCUACGGGAGGCAGCAGUGGGGAAUUUUUGGACAAUGGGCGCAAGCCUGAUCCAGCCAUGCCGCGUGAGUGAAGAAGGCC
RNAcentral lists this ribosomal RNA (385 nucleotides) under uncultured bacterium. RNAcentral describes it as "bacterial SSU rRNA". It matches the Rfam family "Bacterial small subunit ribosomal RNA", at positions 30 to 416 of the family's 1533-position model. The record is from RNAcentral.